UAGUUCAGUCGCCUUCUCCUUCUCAAAUGUCUCAAAAUACUGGUAAAUGAUUGUUACAGCAAGAAGAAUUCCAGUUCCUGAUCCAAUUGCUCCCAUCAAGUCUGCCAAAACUGUCAACGCACCAAUGCAUACUCCUCCGAAGGCAGCUGCGGUAGGAAUGUAACGAUUUAAUUCUUUCUGCAGGUUUGAAUCACGAUGCCCAGGCAUCACCAUUUGUUGCUCCUGUAAAACAAAUACCAUUAGAAGUGUCAUACCACUAAUACAUUAAGAAGUGUCAUACCAGUAAUACUCGUGGAGUCAUAGGCAACGAGAACAUAACAAACUUUUUACCGCCAAAGAGAAUAAUUGUAAUAUUUCCAGUGGCGAUUGAAAGAGUCACAAAAAUAAGUUUUUGUUUUGUUUUGGUAUAUCUUUAUUGAAAAACAAACUGAGCGUUUGAGUUGAGAUUUGGAGAAAUUGUGGUGUAUGUGGUUGGAAAAGAAUCUAACCAAAUCAGUCUUCUGGACUGAUUAAAAUCGAGAAAACAAAAAUAAAAACAGUUACUAUUAUUUUCUGAAAAAUACUGGUUCUGGAAAUACACAAAACCUUUGUCAUUAGGUACUAUGACCACUCUUUCUAUAUUAUAAACCAUGUGAGACAACCAUGCUCCAAAAACCUACAUCUUUCACUAAUAGGCAAACUAACCAGGGUUUUACAGUGAUUCAGUUAUACAGAGAGAUGUGGGACAUUGCUUAGUCAAAUAGUAUGAAUUUUCAUUAGUAUUUUAUGAGCAGUUAGCACAAUGGAAAGAUAAACUCUGCUGUCUUUUUCAACUUAUGGUGCCUGGAAGUAACUAGUUCUUGACAAUUAAGUAAUCUAUAGCAUUUAUUUCUUCUCAUAAUCUACAGUAGGGGGGCAAAGUUAGAACCCCAGUAAGAAAGUUAACAUUAGAAGUCUGAUCAAGUUGAAUUUUGAUUAGUAUUACCAUCAAAUCACUUGGAUAGAGUAAAUAGAUUGGGAGACUGAAAGACUACCCAGCAAAAGCAAAUGCUACAAGAUCAUUUACCUUAAGCUGCUUGGCAACAUCUCUGGCGGAUGAUCCAGAAACUUCAAUCCAAGUCUUCGAGAACAGGGCACAAGCUGACAACAUGAAAACUAUAUAGAAAAGAGCAUGGAAUGGAUGUGCUACCAUUUCUGCCAAGCUGAAAUGCAUGAAAGUUGACGGUCAAUUGCAAUUGAGUAAGAAGCAAUAAGUAUAAGAUGUGGGGCUAACCCUAGAUCUGUGAAGAACAUUAACAGCAAAUAGAAAUUGAUUAGCUGAAGCAAAAGGAUAAAAUACCUUGAUGGAGCAGUAACAAGGUAAGCAAGACCAGCAACAGGAACAGAUUGACCAGAAUAUUCAGAUUCCUUCCAGGUUCCUAUCAAAUUCACGAUGAUAUUUCCACCGUACCUCCUGUAGAGCAACUGAUCAUAGAGUAAAGAGAAGAGGAAAAAGAAAAUAACUUGUUAACACUCUUGAAACAGGUAAGUAACAGUAAGGUGUCAAUUCAAAUAAAAGAACUUUACAAUUAGGUACCUGAGAUAUGAAAUAAAGGUUGGAGACAAGUGCGGACUGAAGAAUAAUAGGCAUGUUUGAGGUGUAGAAGAGUUUGAUUGGGUAAGAACCUUGCUGUCCGCGAGCAUUCUUAGAUCUAACUGGCAAAACUAC
RNAcentral lists this long non-coding RNA (1687 nucleotides) under Nicotiana benthamiana. Its description in RNAcentral is "long non-coding RNA (NBEN_LNC022349)". Lineage: Eukaryota; Viridiplantae; Streptophyta; Magnoliopsida; Solanales; Solanaceae. The record is from RNAcentral.